GGCGAACGAUGAAGCCGGAGCUUGCUCUGGUGAAUUAGUGGCGAACGGGCGAGUAACACGUCAGUAACCUGCCCUUGAUUCUGGGUUAACUGCUAGAAAUGGUUGCUAAGACCGGAUACGACCCGCGGAGGCAUCUUCAGGGGGUGGAAAGAAUUUCGGCCAAGGAGUGACUCGCGGCCUAUUAGCUAGUUGGUGGGGUAAAGGCCUACCAAGGCCACGAUCAGUAGCUGGUCUGGGAGGAUGAUCAGGCACAUUGGGAAUGAAGCACGACCGAAAAUCCUACGGGAGGCAGCAGUGGGGUAUAUUGGACAAUGGGCGCAAGCCUGAUCCAGCCAUGCCGCGUAAGUGAUGAAGGCCUUAGGGUUGUAAAGCUCUUUCAUCCUGGACGAUAAUGACGGUACCGGAAGAAGAAGCCCCGGCUAACUUCGUGCCAGCCGCCGCCGUAA
Molecule: ribosomal RNA, 446 nt
Filed under: uncultured bacterium
Lineage: Bacteria
Description: partial 16S ribosomal RNA
Rfam family: Bacterial small subunit ribosomal RNA
Source: RNAcentral